UCCGGCUUAUCACCGGCAGUUUUCUCAGAGUGCCCAGCCUUACCUGAUGGCAACAGAGAAUGAGGGUUGCGCUCGUUGCGGGACUUAACCCAACAUCUCACGACACGAGCUGACGACAGCCAUGCAGCACCUGUGCACCUCCCACCCGAAGUGAAGGAAUCCAUUUCUGGAAACCAAAGAGGGCAUGUCAAGACCUGGUAAGGUUCUUCGCGUUGCCUCGAAUUAAACCACAUGUUCCACCGCUUGUGCGGGUCCCCGUCAAUUUCUUUGAGUUUUAAUCUUGCGACCGUACUCCCCAGGCGGGGUGCUUAACGCGUUAGCUGCGCUACUCAGAGGUAACCCCCGAACAGCUAGCACCCAUCGUUUACAGCGUGGACUAC
Molecule: unclassified non-coding RNA, 380 nt
Filed under: uncultured Rickettsiales bacterium
Lineage: Bacteria; Pseudomonadati; Pseudomonadota; Alphaproteobacteria; Rickettsiales
Description: contains 16S-23S intergenic spacer region
Source: RNAcentral